This 148-nucleotide ribosomal RNA is filed under the name uncultured eukaryote. Its description in RNAcentral is "partial 18S ribosomal RNA". It matches the Rfam family "Eukaryotic small subunit ribosomal RNA", at positions 1299 to 1458 of the family's 1831-position model. The record is from RNAcentral.
UGGUGGAGUGAUUUGUCUGGUUAAUUCCGUUAACGAACGAGACGUCCACCUGCUAAAUAGUGUAAUAAAAGACUUGAUUGUUUUUAUAUCAUAACACUUCUUAGAGGGACUAUCGGUGUGUAGCCGAUGGAAGUUGGACGCAAUAACA